Molecule: non-coding RNA, 919 nt
Filed under: Pseudoxenodon bambusicola
Lineage: Eukaryota; Metazoa; Chordata; Lepidosauria; Squamata; Pseudoxenodontidae
Source: RNAcentral
CAAGGUCUUGGUCUUAAACCUUUUACUAUCUUCACUCACUAAUUAUACAUGCAAGCCUCACCACAACAGUGAAACAACCCACCAUACAAACAGGGUCGGUAUCAGGCAACCGCCUAUAACACCAAGCACUCAAGCCACACCCCCACGGGCCUGCAGCAGUAGUUAAUAUUAGGCCAUAAGCGAAAGCUUGACCUAGUAAGUGAACCCAUAGGGCCGGUUAAUCUCGUGCCAGCGACCGCGGUUACACGACAGACCCAAGAUAACACCAUCGGCGUAAAACACGACUAGAUCUAUGUACAACCAUUAGGAAGAAAACUAAGCCGGGCCAUAAAAAGCCAUAAGCCACACUAAUACAACCCCCUAAUACAAACAACUUCAACUCGUGAAAGCAAGGACACAAACUAAGAUUAGAUACCUUACUAUGCCUAGCCUUAAAACAACAGUUAAAUAACCAACUGUUCGCCUAAUAACUACGAGUGAAAACUUAAAAUUUAAAAGACUUGACGGUAUUUCACAACAACCUAGAGGAGCCUGUCCAAUAACCGAUACCCCACGAUUAACCCUACCUGCCCUAGCCUUAACAGUCUAUAUACCGCCGUCGCCAGCUUACCUUAUGAAAGAAACAAAGUGGGCCCAAUAAUAGCACAUUAAUACGACAGGUCGAGGUGUAACUAAUGAGCAGGCCAAAGAUGGGCUACAUUUUCUUAAACAGAAAACACGAAUCAACUAUGAAAUUAGAAACUGAAGGCGGAUUUAGCAGUAAGCUAACAACAAAAUACUUAGCUAAAACUAUAGCAAUGAAAUGCGUACACACCGCCCGUCAUCCCUGUAAAACACCUAAACAUAUACAUAAUCCCCCUCACACUUAAAACAGGGCAAGUCGUAACACGGUAAGCGUACUGGAAAGUGCGCUUAGAAA